UAGGGAAUCUUCGGCAAUGGGGGGAACCCUGACCGAGCAACGCCGCGUGAGUGAAGAAGGUUUUCGGAUCGUAAAGCUCUGUUGUUAAGGAAGAACGAGUGUGAGAAUGGAAAGUUCAUACUGUGACGGUAGUUAACCAGAAAGGGACGGCUAACUACGUGCCAGCAGCCGCGGUAAUACGUAGGUCCCGAGCGUUGUCCGGAUUUAUUGGGCGUAAAGCGAGCGCAGGCGGUUAGAUAAGUCUGAAGUUAAAGGCAGUGGCUCAACCAUUGUAGGCUUUGGAAACUGUUUAACUUGAGUGCAGAAGGGGAGAGUGGAAUUCCAUGUGUAGCGAUGAAAUGCGUAGAUAUAUGGAGGAACACCGGUGGCGAAAGCGGCUCUCUGGUCUGUAACUGACGCUGAGGCUCGAAAGCGUGGGGAGCGAACAGG
Molecule: ribosomal RNA, 429 nt
Filed under: Bacteroidota bacterium
Lineage: Bacteria; Pseudomonadati; Bacteroidota
Description: Bacteroidetes bacterium partial 16S ribosomal RNA
Rfam family: Bacterial small subunit ribosomal RNA
Source: RNAcentral